This 772-nucleotide ribosomal RNA is filed under the name uncultured Enterobacteriaceae bacterium. RNAcentral's name for it is "bacterial SSU rRNA". It matches the Rfam family "Bacterial small subunit ribosomal RNA", at positions 727 to 1502 of the family's 1533-position model. The record is from RNAcentral. Lineage: Bacteria; Pseudomonadati; Pseudomonadota; Gammaproteobacteria; Enterobacterales; Enterobacteriaceae.
UUCUGGACAGUACUGACGCUGAGAUGCGAAGCGUGGGGAGCAAACAGGAUUAGAUACCUGGUAGUCCACGCUGUAAACGAUGUCGAUUUGGAGUUUGUUGCCUAGAGUGAUGGGCUCCGAAGCUAACGCGAUAAAUCGACCGCCUGGGGAGUACGGCCGCAAGGUUAAAACUCAGAUGAAUUGACGGGGGCCCGCACAAGCGGUGGAGCAUGUGGUUUAAUUCGAUGCAACGCGAAGAACCUUACCUGGUCUUGACAUCCAUAGAAUUCUGCAGAGAUGUGGGAGUGCCUUCGGGAACUAUGAGACAGGUGCUGCAUGGCUGUCGUCAGCUCGUGUUGUGAAAUGUUGGGUUAAGUCCCGCAACGAGCGCAACCCUUAUUCUUUGUUGCCAGCGAUUUGGUCGGGAACUCAAAGGAGACUGCCGUUGAUAAAGCGGAGGAAGGUGGGGACGACGUCAAGUCAUCAUGGCCCUUACGACCAGGGCUACACACGUGCUACAAUGGCGUAUACAAAGGGAAGCGAAGGUGCGAGCUGGAGCGGAUCUCAUAAAGUACGUCUAAGUUCGGAUUGGAGUCUGCAACUCGACUCCAUGAAGUCGGAAUCGCUAGUAAUCGUAGAUCAGAAUGCUACGGUGAAUACGCUCCCGGGCCUUGUACACACCGCCCGUCACACCAUGGGAGUGGGUUGCACCAGAAGUAGAUAGCUUAACCGCGAGGGGGGCGUUUACCACGGUGUGAUUCAUGACUGGGGUGAAGUCGUAACAAGGUAACCA